This 250-nucleotide ribosomal RNA is filed under the name uncultured bacterium. RNAcentral describes it as "partial 16S ribosomal RNA". It matches the Rfam family "Bacterial small subunit ribosomal RNA", at positions 525 to 774 of the family's 1533-position model. The record is from RNAcentral.
ACGGAGGGUGCAAGCGUUGCUCGGAAUCACUGGGCGUAAAGCGACCGCAGGCGGCCUGACAAGUCGGAUGUGAAAGCCCUGGGCUCAACUCAGGAAUUGCAUUCGAAACUGGCAGGCUUGAGUACGGGAGAGGGGGGUGGAAUUCCUGGUGUAGGGGUGAAAUUCGUUGAUAUCAGGAGGAACACCGGCGGCGAAGGCGGCCCCCUGGCCCGCAACUGACGCUCAUGGUCGAAAGCGUGGGGAGCAAACA